UAAUAUUCCAGUGGUUGCCGCA
Molecule: non-coding RNA, 22 nt
Filed under: Arabidopsis thaliana (thale cress)
Lineage: Eukaryota; Viridiplantae; Streptophyta; Magnoliopsida; Brassicales; Brassicaceae
Source: RNAcentral